Molecule: long non-coding RNA, 381 nt
Filed under: Monodelphis domestica (gray short-tailed opossum)
Lineage: Eukaryota; Metazoa; Chordata; Mammalia; Didelphimorphia; Didelphidae
Description: lncRNA (ENSMODG00000038787.1)
Source: RNAcentral
CAUUCAUUCAUUAAUUAAUUCUUCAAAUAUUCAGGUGAUAACUGCUAUAUAGAACACACUAUGCCAGAUACAGGGAGGACACUAAAGGAUUAAUGGUACCAGAUCCCUGAUCAUGAAUUUACAAUCUGACUUGCAAAACAGACCCUCUGAAGCUUUCCUGCCUGCAGUUACUUUGGCACAGAGUUCUCCAGCCACCAGAUCAUGGCUGAAAUCAUGGCAAAUCAAUCCUCUUCUUAGAUGCAGAUUUGGGACAUAUGAGGAAGAGGAUGUGAUGACCCCUCCAUAUUGGACUUGGAAACUAGAGUCAAUCUUUGGUGCUAACAGAAAAUGUGGAGGAAGAUAGCUUGUGCAAAAAUAUAAACCUAUUUUUGCUUUAAACAU